AAUUAAUGAGCUUGAAUAAGCAUAUGCCUUGAAAGCAUAGGAAAGGGAUAAUUUCCCUAUUAAUU
RNAcentral lists this transfer RNA (65 nucleotides) under Chalcophana sp. N69. Its description in RNAcentral is "tRNA-Ser". The record is from RNAcentral. Lineage: Eukaryota; Metazoa; Arthropoda; Insecta; Coleoptera; Chrysomelidae.